RNAcentral lists this ribosomal RNA (301 nucleotides) under uncultured bacterium. RNAcentral describes it as "partial 16S ribosomal RNA". It matches the Rfam family "Bacterial small subunit ribosomal RNA", at positions 509 to 807 of the family's 1533-position model. The record is from RNAcentral.
CAGUAGCCGCGGGAAUACGAAGGGGGCUAGCGUUGUUCGGAAUUACUGGGCGUAAAGCGCACGUAGGCGGACAUUUAAGUCAGGGGUGAAAUCCCGGGGCUCAACCCCGGAACUGCCUUUGAUACUGGGUGUCUUGAGUGUGGAAGAGGUCAGUGGAAUUGCGAGUGUAGAGGUGAAAUUCGUAGAUAUUCGCAGGAACACCAGUGGCGAAGGCGGCUGACUGGUCCACAACUGACGCUGAGGUGCGAAAGCGUGGGGAGCAAACAGGAUUAGAUACCCGUGUAGUCCCUGUCUCUUAUAC